UCGAGCGGUAACGGGGUAAUUUAUUACCUGCUGACGAGCGGCGGACGGCUGAGUAACGCGUGGGAACGUACCCCAAAGUGAGGAAUAACCGCCCGAAAGGGUGGCUAAUGCCGCAUGUGAUCUUCGGAUUAAAGGAUUUAUCCGCCUUGGGAACGGCCUGCGUAUGAUUAGAUAGUUGGUGAGGUAAAGGCUCACCAAGUCUACGAUCAUUAACUGGUCUGAGAGGAUGAUCAGUCAGACUGGAACUGAGACACGGUCCAGACUCCUACGGGAGGCAGCAGUGAGGAAUCUUCCACAAUGGGCGAAAGCCUGAUGGAGCGACGCCGCGUGCAGGAUGAAGGCCUUAGGGUUGUAAACUGCUUUUAUAAGUGAAGAAUAUGACGGUAACUUAUGAAUAAGCACCGGCUAACUACGUGCCAGCAGCCGCGGUCAUACGUAGGGUGCAAGCAUUAUCCGGAGUGACUGGGCGUAAAGAGUUGCGUAGGUGGUUUGUUAAGUGAAUAGUGAAAUCUGGUGGCUCAACCACACAGACUAUUAUUCAAACUGGCAAACUCGAGAGUAGCAGAGGUAACUGGAAUUUCUAGUGUAGGAGUGAAAUCCGUAGAUAUUAGAAGGAACACCAAUGGCGUAGGCAGGUUACUAGGCUAUUUCUGACACUGAGGCACGAAAGCGUGGGGAGCGAACCGGAUUAGAUACCCGGGUAGUCCACGCAGUAAACGAUGGAUACUAGCUGUUGGAGGUAUCGACCCCUUCAGUAGCGAAGCUAACGCGUUAAGUAUCCC
Molecule: ribosomal RNA, 782 nt
Filed under: uncultured bacterium
Lineage: Bacteria
Description: bacterial SSU rRNA
Rfam family: Bacterial small subunit ribosomal RNA
Source: RNAcentral